CCUACGGGUGGCAGCAGUAGGGAAUAUUGGACAAUGGGCGAAAGCCUGAUCCAGCCAUGCCGCGUGAUAGAUGAAGGCCCUCUGGGUUGUAAAUAUCUUUUAUCUGGGAAGAAACAAUCUUAUUCUUAAGAUCUUGACGGUACCAGAGGAAUAAGCACCGGCUAACUCCGUGCCAGCAGCCGCGGUCAUACGGAGGGUGCAAGCGUUACUCGGUUUCACUGGGGCGAAGGGGUGCGUAGAAGUCCUGAGUGAAAGCUCCGAGCUUAACUUGGAAACUGCCAGUGAUACUGCCAGUCUUGAAUGUCGUAGAGGUAAGCGGAAUGUUGCAUGUAGCGGUGAAAUGCUUAGAUAUGUUACAGAACACCAAUUGCGAAGGCAGCUUACUAUGCGAUGAUUGACGCUGAGGCACGAAAGCGUGGGGAGCAAACAGGAUUAGAUACCCGUGUAGUC
RNAcentral lists this ribosomal RNA (450 nucleotides) under uncultured bacterium. Its description in RNAcentral is "partial 16S ribosomal RNA". It matches the Rfam family "Bacterial small subunit ribosomal RNA", at positions 338 to 795 of the family's 1533-position model. The record is from RNAcentral.